AGCGAACGCUGGCGGCGUGCUUAACACAUGCAAGUCGAGUGCGCGUCCGUAGCAAUACGGAUGGCGCACGGCGCACGGGUGCGUAACACGUGGGCAAUCUGCCCUCGGAUGGGGGAUACCCCCGCGAAAGCGGGACUAAUACCGCAUGAUAUUCCGAAGACCUCGGUCUUUGGAUUCAAAGGUCGCAAGAUCGUCUGAGGAGGAGCCCGCGCCCGAUUAGCUAGUUGGUGAGGUAACGGCUCACCAAGGCUUUGAUCGGUAGCCGGUCUG
This 270-nucleotide ribosomal RNA is filed under the name uncultured bacterium. Its description in RNAcentral is "partial 16S ribosomal RNA". It matches the Rfam family "Bacterial small subunit ribosomal RNA", at positions 29 to 294 of the family's 1533-position model. The record is from RNAcentral.